UAGUCUAGUUGUUAAGAUUCAGUGCUUUCACCACUGUGGCCAGGGUUCGUAUCCCUG
Transfer RNA from Sus scrofa (pig), 57 nucleotides. It matches the Rfam family "tRNA", at positions 8 to 63 of the family's 71-position model. From Rfam's summary of the family: Transfer RNA (tRNA) molecules are approximately 80 nucleotides in length. The record is from Rfam. Lineage: Eukaryota; Metazoa; Chordata; Mammalia; Artiodactyla; Suidae.